UCCCUGGUGGCUUAGAUGGUAAAGCAUCUGCCUACAAUGCAGGAGACCCAGGUUCAAUCCCUGGGUCGGGAA
This 72-nucleotide transfer RNA is filed under the name Bos taurus (domestic cattle). It matches the Rfam family "tRNA". From Rfam's summary of the family: Transfer RNA (tRNA) molecules are approximately 80 nucleotides in length. Their secondary structure includes four short double-helical elements and three loops (D, anti-codon, and T loops). Lineage: Eukaryota; Metazoa; Chordata; Mammalia; Artiodactyla; Bovidae. RNAcentral also lists the same sequence under 5 other names. The record is from Rfam by way of RNAcentral.